RNAcentral lists this unclassified non-coding RNA (529 nucleotides) under Bartonella clarridgeiae. RNAcentral describes it as "partial 16S-23S ribosomal RNA intergenic spacer". The record is from RNAcentral. Lineage: Bacteria; Pseudomonadati; Pseudomonadota; Alphaproteobacteria; Hyphomicrobiales; Bartonellaceae.
AUAUUGUUUUCCUUUUGAUUCCAGAUUUAUUGCCGGUAAAGGUUUUCUUGGUUUACCCUAUAGGGCUUUGUAGUUUGGUUAGAGCGCGCGCUUUGAUUGAGGUCCGGAGGUUCCAAGUCCUCCCAGGCCCACCAGUUACACGAUGCUAAAAGUUUGCUAUAUUUGGGAGAGUUUGAUAAUCCCUUACAGGAAAUUAUUUGCCCUUAAUAAAACUUUAUUUUUCUAAAAGCAUUUCAGAGCUGACAUAGAAUAGAGCUGACAUAGAAUUUGAGAAUCUGACAUAGGAAUUAUUUUUUGUUUUUGGAAUUUAUUUGAAAUUUGUUUUUCUAUCAUUAAAAGGCUAAAAUAUUUCUGUCUCUAUUUUUUAAAAUAGCAUCAGGUGUUUUUGUAAGAGUGUGAAGUUUUUAAGUGUGAGGUUUUUUUAUAUUUUUAGUGUGAGGUUUUUUAUAAGGGUAUGACGUGAGAGCGUUUUUGACCCUGUUUUUAGGGGCCGUAGCUCAGCUGGGAGAGCACCUGCUUUUGCAAGCAG